UGCCCAGACUCCUACGGGAGGCAGCAGUCGGGAAUAUUGCGCAAUGGAGGAAACUCUGACGCAGUGACGCCGCGUGCAGGAAGAAGGUUUUCGGAUUGUAAACUGCUUUAGACAGGGAAGAAACAAGACAGUACCUGUAGAAUAAGCUCCGGCUAACUACGUGCCAGCAGCCGCGGUAAUACGUAGGGAGCAAGCGUUAUCCGGAUUUAUUGGGUGUAAAGGGUGCGUAGACGGGAAGGCAAGUUGGUUGUGAAAUCCCUCGGCUUAACUGAGGAACUGCAACCAAAACUAUCUUUCUUGAGUGCUGGAGAGGAAAGUGGAAUUCCUAGUGUAGCGGUGAAAUGCAUAGAUAUCACGCAGAACCCCGAUUGCGAAGGCAGCAUACCGGGGCACAACUGACGCUCAGGCACGAAAGCGUGGGUAUCGAACAGGAUUAGAUACCCCAGUAC
RNAcentral lists this ribosomal RNA (449 nucleotides) under uncultured bacterium. RNAcentral's name for it is "bacterial SSU rRNA". It matches the Rfam family "Bacterial small subunit ribosomal RNA", at positions 328 to 793 of the family's 1533-position model. The record is from RNAcentral.